Molecule: RNA transcript, 2030 nt
Organism: Solanum pennellii
Lineage: Eukaryota; Viridiplantae; Streptophyta; Magnoliopsida; Solanales; Solanaceae
Gene name: probable ubiquitin-conjugating enzyme E2 24
Exons: 9
Source: RefSeq, a predicted model, not a curated record
UACUAUUUUGUUACUUCCUCAUCACGACACCGAUCCUUCUCUCCGUUCACUGCUCGCCGGCGACUGCCAUCUCCGUUCACCUCUAUGGAAGACAAAGAUAAUGCCGAUUUAGACUCUCAUUCGGGCCUCGAAUUUGACAAUAACUCUGACUCUGAUGACGUCUUUGACUAUUUUCGCAUGACGAAAGAAGAUUUUGAUGAUGCGAGUGGAAGAAGAUUUAGACAUGGCGACGUUGUUUCUUCCAUGUCUAAUCCUGACAAACUUGGCCAAGUAGUUCAAAUUAAUCGGUUCUUUGGAAUGUUUGAUUCGGAUGAUCUCUACUCUUUUCAAGACAUUCCAUCUAACCAACUAAAGCGUAUAACAAAAUUUGCGAAAGGAGAUUUGGUAGUCCUUACCCAUUGGUUGGGUAGGGUAGUUUACGUUUCAUGUGAUACUACUGUUAAGUUCGAGAAUGAUGACUCUUUACGCACUUUUAGAGGAGGGACAGGUCUUUAUCCACGUUUUCCUUCAUGGAAUAUCUCAUGUGACAGGCCUUGUCCACUACAUCCUGGACAACAGGUGAUGGUUGCGGGUAAACCAUGUACAGUAAUCGAUCUGGUUGAUAGAUUUGUAUAUGUUGAAUGGAUCGCUAAUUCUGAAUGCAGUGGCUCCCCUCCCCCUCCCGAUAAACAAGAUCCUAACAGCUUGACACAAGUGUUUUCAUAUCUCUCGACUUGGAAAAUAGGAGAUGUAUGCAAGCAUGUGUCGUAUCCUGAAAUUGUUGUUCUAAUCACUGACAUUAGAACGUUUGUUGAUGUGUCUUGGCAAGAUGGGUCAACAGAAAGAAACAUUCCAUCAACUCUACUGAAGCCCAUUUCUGAUAUAGGAGUUCAUGACUUUUUAGUGGAUCAAUAUGUUGUUUUGGAUAAUUCUGAACACUUGGGAGUCGUCAAAUCUGUUAAUCACAGGGAGAAAACCACAACGGUGAAGUGGAUAAAUCGCCUGAAUGAGGAUAUCAUUAGUUCUAGCCGCCUGAAUCGGCACCAUCUUUUUAACUAUCACCUGGGUAAUUUGGUUUUCCGCCGAAUAACAAAAGAAGCUGAAAAUUCUGAUUUGUCCUCCUUUGGGAGUAUAAUUGGCUUCAAAGAUGGCAACAUUGAGGUUGCAUGGGAUGAUGGUACUACAUCUAUGGUUCAACCUCAAGAACUUCAUGGUCUUGAUCGAAAUGAUUAUGGGUAUAAAUCUGAUGAAUACUCAUCCAGCAGCGAUGAAGAAGUUGGGGACUCAUUGGUUGUAGAAAUUCCUGAUUCCAAUGUCGAUUUGUUGGACUUUGUGGACCUGCAGAGUGUUAAAUGCCUUAAUGAAAGCCACAUCCACUGUAUUAGCAAUGCCCUAGAAAAGGAUUACAGAGAUUUCAAGGGUUUGAACUUGGAGAGCACUGCAGAUGAGCAGCUAUUGAUUUACAUUCCUUUUAAGCAGCCUAUCAAUUUGCAUUCACUGAUUAUUGGAGGACCUCUGGAGGAAGGUGAAUUCUGUACUUGCAUAAUAUUUGGUGUCCUUUCCUGGACUGACCCAUUUGUGGCACAUUUUUCACCAUUACCAUGUGUUAUCACUAAUUGAAUUGGACCUAUAUGUAGUGAUGCUAUUGAAACCACUCCAAGGGACACAGCAAUUUUAUCUGAAGAUAAUCUCAGGGGAAAAGCAGUUAAGUUGAAACAAGUUAAGUUUCAAAGCGUUCACAGUGUGACUAUUUUUAUCGAGGACAAUCAGUAUGGUUCCAAACUUACAAGAGUUGAAAGAAUUUAUUUGUUUGGAACAUCGAACUUCUGAGCCAUGAACACCAAGAAAAGCUGUAGAUUUUUGUACAUGUUGAGGAAUUUUUUUCAGUGUUGAUGAGAGAGAGGAGUGUAUUGUGUAAGAGGUGUAAAAGAAGAAAACAAAAACAAUUUUUUGUGAUACGUAAAUGUACUUUUGAGUUUUGUAAAUUUUACCAACUAAGAAGAUGCUUGCUAUUGUUGGCAAGUGCUUCGAACUUACGAUAUUGAAGUUUU